This 90-nucleotide unclassified non-coding RNA is filed under the name Pseudomonas sp. B10. Lineage: Bacteria; Pseudomonadati; Pseudomonadota; Gammaproteobacteria; Pseudomonadales; Pseudomonadaceae. The record is from RNAcentral.
UGUGGGAGCGAGGCUGCUCGCGAAAGCGUCGGUUCAGUCAAUGGAUUCAUUGAAUGACACACCGCUUUCGCGAGCAGCCUCGCUCCCACA